This 486-nucleotide ribosomal RNA is filed under the name uncultured bacterium. Its description in RNAcentral is "bacterial SSU rRNA". It matches the Rfam family "Bacterial small subunit ribosomal RNA", at positions 29 to 507 of the family's 1533-position model. The record is from RNAcentral.
AUGAACGCUAGCGGCAGGCUUAACACAUGCAAGUCGAGGGGCGAACACGGGUAGCAAUACCUGGUGGCGACCGGCGGCAAGGGUGCGUAACGCGUGAGCAACAUGCCCUAUACAGGGGGAUAAUCCAGGGAAACUUGGUCUAAUAUCCCAUAGUAUUUAGAGGUGGCAUCACCACUAAAUUAAAGCUUCGGUGGUAUAGGAUUGGCUCGCGUGACAUUAGCUGGAUGGUGGGGUAACGGCUCACCAUGGCGAUGAUGUCUAGGGGUUCUGAGAGGAAGACCCCCCACACUGGGACUGAGACACGGACCAGACUCCUACGGGAGGCAGCAGUGAGGAAUAUUGGUCAAUGGGCGCAAGCCUGAACCAGCCAUCCCGCGUGCAGGAAGACGGCGCUAUGCGUUGUAAACUGCUUUUCCAGGGAGAGAAACUUGCGCACGUGUUGCGCAAUUGACGGUACCCUGGGAAUAAGCAUCGGCUAACUCCGUG